RNAcentral lists this unclassified non-coding RNA (240 nucleotides) under soil metagenome. RNAcentral's name for it is "partial contains 5.8S ribosomal RNA, internal transcribed spacer 2, and large subunit ribosomal RNA". The record is from RNAcentral.
AACCUAGCACACCUGCGGUGUGUACCUGCGGAGGGAUCAUUACCGAGUUUACAAACUCCCAAACCCUUUGUGAACCUUACCUAUCGUUGCUUCGGCGGGAUCGCCCCGGGCCGGCCCUUCACGGGGCCUCCGGAACCAGGCGCCCGCCGGAGAACCCAAACUCUUUGUUUUUAUGGUUUUCUCCUCUGAGUGGAUUAUAAACAAAUAAAUCAAAACUUUCAGCAAUGGAUCUCAGAUCGG